This 496-nucleotide ribosomal RNA is filed under the name Serratia sp. 01WB02.4-21. RNAcentral's name for it is "bacterial SSU rRNA". It matches the Rfam family "Bacterial small subunit ribosomal RNA", at positions 11 to 496 of the family's 1533-position model. The record is from RNAcentral. Lineage: Bacteria; Pseudomonadati; Pseudomonadota; Gammaproteobacteria; Enterobacterales; Yersiniaceae.
GUUGAUCCUGGCUCAGAUUGAACGCUGGCGGCAGGCCUAACACAUGCAAGUCGAGCGGUAGCACAAGAGAGCUUGCUCUCUGGGUGACGAGCGGCGGACGGGUGAGUAAUGUCUGGGAAACUGCCUGAUGGAGGGGGAUAACUACUGGAAACGGUAGCUAAUACCGCAUAACGUCUUCGGACCAAAGUGGGGGACCUUCGGGCCUCACGCCAUCAGAUGUGCCCAGAUGGGAUUAGCUAGUAGGUGGGGUAAUGGCUCACCUAGGCGACGAUCCCUAGCUGGUCUGAGAGGAUGACCAGCCACACUGGAACUUGAGACACGGUCCAGACUCCUACGGGAGGCAGCAGUGGGGAAUAUUGCACAAUGGGCGCAAGCCUGAUGCAGCCAUGCCGCGUGUGUGAAGAAGGCCUUCGGGUUGUAAAGCACUUUCAGCGAGGAGGAAGGGUUCAGUGUUAAUAGCACUGUGCAUUGACGUUACUCGCAGAAGAAGCACCGG